RNAcentral lists this transfer RNA (70 nucleotides) under Flavobacterium subsaxonicum WB 4.1-42 = DSM 21790. It matches the Rfam family "tRNA". Rfam says of the family: Transfer RNA (tRNA) molecules are approximately 80 nucleotides in length. Their secondary structure includes four short double-helical elements and three loops (D, anti-codon, and T loops). The record is from Rfam by way of RNAcentral. Lineage: Bacteria; Pseudomonadati; Bacteroidota; Flavobacteriia; Flavobacteriales; Flavobacteriaceae.
GGGGGAUUAGCUCAGCUGGCUAGAGCGCCUGCCUUGCACGCAGGAGGUCAUCGGUUCGACUCCGAUAUUC